This 66-nucleotide transfer RNA is filed under the name Orestia punctipennis. RNAcentral's name for it is "tRNA-Leu". It matches the Rfam family "tRNA". From Rfam's summary of the family: Transfer RNA (tRNA) molecules are approximately 80 nucleotides in length. Their secondary structure includes four short double-helical elements and three loops (D, anti-codon, and T loops). The record is from RNAcentral. Lineage: Eukaryota; Metazoa; Arthropoda; Insecta; Coleoptera; Chrysomelidae.
AUUAUUUUGGCAGAUUAGUGCAUUGGAUUUAGAAUCUAAAAAUGUAAUUUAUAAUUACAAAUAAUA